This is a long non-coding RNA of Gadus macrocephalus (Pacific cod), 267 nucleotides long. RefSeq lists it as uncharacterized. NCBI's taxonomy places the organism in Eukaryota, Metazoa, Chordata, Actinopteri, Gadiformes, Gadidae. The transcript has 2 exons. The record is from RefSeq and is a predicted model, not a curated record.
AAAAUACGUGACACUGUCACGUUAUUUAAUCUAUUGAAAUGUGAUCAGGGACACGUAUUUUCAAAAUUUUCGUGUUUUAAAGCACAAAUUUCAAACCCAUGUAUUUCAAUUGGGAGUAUUUAUAACAAUAUGACAGCUUUUGGCCACCUGUUUCUACUUAAACUUGUCUGUGAACAAUAUGACAGCUUUAGGCCACCUGUUUCUACUUUCACCUUUGAUUCUGAGAAUUUGUGACAAUUCACGGAUAUAUUAAAUGAAGGUGCGCUG